RNAcentral lists this ribosomal RNA (502 nucleotides) under uncultured bacterium. Its description in RNAcentral is "bacterial SSU rRNA". It matches the Rfam family "Bacterial small subunit ribosomal RNA", at positions 28 to 516 of the family's 1533-position model. The record is from RNAcentral.
GAUGAACGCUAGCUACAGGCUUAACACAUGCAAGUCGAGGGGAACGAUAGAGAAAGCUUGCUUUUUCUAGGCGUCGACCGGCGCACGGGUGAGUAGCGCGUAUCCAACCUGCCCACCACUUGGGGAUAACCUUGCGAAAGUAAGACUAAUACCCAAUGACGUCUCUAGAAGACAUCUGAAAGAGAUUAAAGAUUUAUCGGUGAUGGAUGGGGAUGCGUCUGAUUAGCUUGUUGGCGGGGUAACGGCCCACCAAGGCGACGAUCAGUAGGGGUUCUGAGAGGAAGGUCCCCCACAUUGGAACUGAGACACGGUCCAAAACUCCUACGGGAGGCAGCAGUGAGGAAUAUUGGUCAAUGGACGAGAGUCUGAACCAGCCAAGUAGCGUGCAGGAUGACGGCCCUAUGGGUUGUAAACUGCUUUUAUAAGGGAAUAAAGUGAGUCUCGUGAGACUUUUUGCAUGUACCUUAUGAAUAAAGGACCGGCUAAUUCCGUGCCAGCAGCC